Molecule: transfer RNA, 72 nt
Filed under: Exophiala dermatitidis NIH/UT8656
Lineage: Eukaryota; Fungi; Ascomycota; Eurotiomycetes; Chaetothyriales; Herpotrichiellaceae
Description: tRNA-Ala (CGC) (tRNA-Ala-CGC-1-1)
Rfam family: tRNA
About the family: Transfer RNA (tRNA) molecules are approximately 80 nucleotides in length. Their secondary structure includes four short double-helical elements and three loops (D, anti-codon, and T loops).
Source: RNAcentral
GGGCGUUUGGUCUAGGGGUAUGAUUUUCGCUUCGCAUGUGAAAGGUCCGGGGUUCAAAUCCCCGAACGUCCA